Molecule: ribosomal RNA, 492 nt
Filed under: uncultured bacterium
Lineage: Bacteria
Description: partial 16S ribosomal RNA
Rfam family: Bacterial small subunit ribosomal RNA
Source: RNAcentral
AGUGAACGCUGGCGGUAGGCCUAAUACAUGCAAGUCGAACGGAAGCACAGUAAGAGCUUGCUCUUACGGGUGGCGACGGGCGGACGGGUAAGGCAUACAUCGGCAUCUUCUUUUUCGUGGGGGAUAACGUAGGGACACUUACGAUAAUACCGCAUACGUCCUACCGGUGAAAGCAGGGGAUCUUCGGACCUUGCGCGAUUGUAUUAGCCGAUGUCGGAUUAGCUAGUUGGCGGGGUAAGGGCCCACCAAGGCAACGAUACGUAGCUGGUCUGAGAGGAUGAUCAGCCACACUGGAACUGAGACACGGUCCAGACUCCUACGGGAGGCAGCAGUGGGGAAUAUUGGACAAUGGGCGCAAGCCUGAUCCAGCCAUACCGCGUGGGUGAGGAAGGCCUUCGGGUUGUAAAGCCCUUUUGUUAGGAAAGAAAAGCAGCAGGUUAAUACCCCGCUGUUCUGACGGUACCUAAAGAAUAAGCACCGGCUAACUUCGUG